GGACUGGUAGCUGAGUGGCUUAGCGGUGGAGUGAAAUCCCGCAGACGGUGGUUCGAUUCCAUCUCAGUCCA
RNAcentral lists this transfer RNA (71 nucleotides) under Paenibacillus sp. PDC88. RNAcentral describes it as "tRNA_Phe_GAA". It matches the Rfam family "tRNA". Rfam says of the family: Transfer RNA (tRNA) molecules are approximately 80 nucleotides in length. RNAcentral also lists the same sequence under 2 other names. Lineage: Bacteria; Bacillati; Bacillota; Bacilli; Caryophanales; Paenibacillaceae. The record is from RNAcentral.